CAGGUAUGGCCCUAAAAAGCAAAAAAAAAAAAAAAAAAAAAAAAAAAAGUGAGGGUUUAGGGUCCCUUCCCCUUGAGCCUAGGUAGAUCUUUAUGACUUCCUUGAUGGACAGAAUGUGGUGAAAGUAACACUGUGACUUCUGAAGCAGGGUCGUCAGUACACCCUGCACUUGGGUUUGCUUUUUCAGGAUGCGUACUCUUGGAACCCAGCUCCAUAUUGCUAGGAAGCCCAAAUGGCCCACGGAGAAUCCAGUUGGGAAAGUCAACAGUAGGGAUUCCAGCUGACAACCCAGUUGAGGUCUUGACUAACUGUCAUCAUCAUCAGCUGCCAGCCCAAUGAGUGAAGGGCUUGCUCCGUGCAGUGGAGUCCCCAAAGCCUCUGAGCCUUUCUAGAUGGCUCGCUCCAGAUGGAGAUGCAGAGAUUAGUUGUCCCUUCAAAUUCCUGACCUAUAAUUAAGUGGUUCCUUCCUACUAAGUUUUGGGGGUGAUUUCUUAUACAAUAAUAACUAGAACAAUAUCUUGGAUGUCAUACUGGGUAAUAUGACCCUUGUUCAUUGAUUUAAGAAUAGGGCUUCUGGAGUCCCCUGGUGGUCUAGUGGUUAAGGAUCCGGCACUGUCACUGCUGUGGCUCUGAUUACUGCUGUGGCUCAGGGUUCGAUCCCUGGCCUGGGAACUUUAAGAAAUUGAAAAGUUGAGGAACUUUCAAGAAGUUUAUACUUUCUAUGAAGAUGAUGAAGGCGUAUAAACUUCUCAAACUAAGUUUGCCCUAAGGUUCUUGUCAUGAGAUUGUACACUUUGAAUAUGUUGAUGCUGUGCCCUUCUUUACAAAAUCUCAAGAGUUCUUACAUUAUUGUCAUAACUCUGAACCCACAGAAGAAGAAUGUCAUUGCAAUUCCUUUUUUUUUUUUUUUUUUGCUUUUUAGGGCUACACCUGCAGCAUAUGGAAGUUCCCAGGCUAGGGAUCAAAUCAAAUCAAAUGCAGUAUUUUCUGUAGUUUUUGUCAUAAAAAAGAAUCAAUGUUCGGGAGGCAGUGAAUUCAUCAGACUAAAGGGUAGCAUCGCGAUGUCUCUCUUAUUCACUCUGGCUUUAGUCUCUGAGCGAAACACGUGGGCUAGGUGGUCUCCAACGGUUGAUUAUCUUUAAGUUUUUUUAUUUUACUCGUAUAAGAGUUCUACAAUUUCGUCAGUGUGCUGUUUUGUUCAGGAGCAUGAGUUUGGAAGCUGAUUCCUUGAUUCUUAGCCUGAUACUAACGAGCUGCAUCAUUUUGGACAAGUCAUCCAACCUCAGUUCCUUCAUCUGUAAAAUGGGGCUCAUGAUCAUGUCGACUCUGUGGGAUUAUUGAGAACCUUAAAUGAGCUAAUGACUACUCGGAGCAGUAAAUGUCUGACACAGUAAGUUUUAUGAGCAAUGGCUGUCAUUAUCCACUGUCACAUGUUGUUGGCUGUGAUAGUUCAUUCACCUCUUAAAUCCCACGUUGAGAAGACGCUGAAUGAAUGCUUCUUUGUCGCGGGUUUUGUAGACGUGACCAAUUGGGUGUCAAUGAGAUUGCAUGACCCGAGUCCCUUCCACUCAAGGUACCACGUGCUAGGUAAAUCUGAGUUCCAGGAUCAACUGACACUGGAAGUGGGUGUCUCGGGAGUACUGAUUCAUUAUAAAUAAUAGUAAUAAUACACGGAGAAUACGUCACUGUCAAUGUUAAUUAUGGCAGCGUAGCUACUUCCAAGGCUAGAAACUCUAUUUAGAAAUUUUAUGUAUCGUUCCCACACUGUAGCUGAAAGAAAUGCUAGUAACGUUAAUAGGAGGUCUGUAAGAGUUUCAGCGACUCAAAAAGGGACACGUAAAUAGAAUCAUUAGGCACAUUCCUCAAGUUGUCAGUCACACUGGUCGUGGAUUGAAUGUCCUGGGUGUGACUCCACUGGCAAAAAUAUCAGGGAGUGUUUUGCAGAACAAAACCUUUCUGGCUGAGAAACCUGAAAGGCUUGCCGUUUAAUUGAUUUCGGUCAUUUGUGGUAGCUGAGCAGGUGAAUGGGAAGAUAACCGAUACCAUCCCGAAAACUUAGGCAGACAGGUGCUUCAUUUCUGCAUAAAAGUAUUCAACACCUGAUGGAAAUGCAAUGCAGGUCGAUGUCUUCUUUCUGCUUUACUUUCUGGACUAUUUCUGGAUUAUGAAGUGCCAAUAAUUGAGAAAGUGGAAGGAACAGCCAAUUAGAUGAGAACGCCCUCAAUUAGAUGUGAGAAGCUGGAAACAGUUGGCUGGGAGAAAGAAGGUUUCUAAUAAUUCCAACCAGAUCUAUUAAUUCUUUUCUACAGGGGAAAAAAAAAAAAAAAACACAAAAGAUUAACAACUUUCAGUUGCAGAAAU
Sus scrofa (pig) is the source of this 2361-nucleotide non-coding RNA. Lineage: Eukaryota; Metazoa; Chordata; Mammalia; Artiodactyla; Suidae. The record is from RefSeq and is a predicted model, not a curated record.